CCGCCGAACAUUGCAUGGAUGCGGAGGCACAUUCGGCCCCCGAACGUGGCCUGGCCAGCCACCUAUAAAAGGGGCACUUAGCCGAAAUGGGCGAGCUUUCUCCCAUUUUCGGCCACAGCAAGCUUCCGACCUUCCCUUUGCAAAUCUUGUGUUCUUCCUCCAAAUCUCUUCCAUUUUCCUUGAGUUUUAAACUCACAUUGCAAGUUUUGAGCAUUUAAACCAAGUUUUGGAGCUUUGGGAACUCAGGAGCUCAUUUUCGUGGAUCUCCAAGUUUAGGUCGUCUCCCUCUCGAUCUUCAAGAGGUAAGAGCCGAUCUUAAGCUCCUUAUAUGUUUUAAGUAAGUUUUAAGUUGUUUUAUGGGUAGAGAUGCAUGUUUAGGCUUAUUGAUGAGUUUAUGGAUUUUGAUGUUUUGAUGAACAAUGUAUGUUGUUUGUGUGUGUUGAAGUGUUGUAGUUGGGGUAUUUGAUAGUUUGAGACCCCUAGGUGUGAUGUAUGGUGUUUAUGCAUGUUUUAGAACAAGUUUAUGCAUGAUUGGUGAGUUUAAAGGCAAAAAUGCUUAAGGGAGCCAAGUUUCUGCCCUUUGGCAGAAACCAGGUUCGGCAGCCGAAGGGAGUUUCGGCCGCCGAACAUGGCUUGAGAGGCAGCUUUAGGCUGCCGAAGCUUGCCCCCGAAAGUUGGAGUUUCGGCUCUGUCCGAGACUUUCGGCCGCCGAAGGUGCCGCCGAACAUGCAUGAGUUUCGCCUCUGUCUGGGAGUUUCGGCCGCCGAAGGUGCCGCCGAACCUGCCUGACUUUCGGCUCUGGAGGGACUUCCGGCCGCCGAAGGUGCCGCCGAAAGUGCCCUGUCUAGCCUUUUCUUGCAUGCUUCCUAGGAGUGUUUUGAGGUGUUUUUAGGAGGUUUUUGGGGGUAUGUUUAGAGUUAUGUUCUUGUUGUUUGGUGCCUCAUUUGAGUCCACCUGUGUAGGUUCGGACCCGAGGAACCGAGACCCCCGGUUGUGAGAUAGUCGUUCAGAGUUCAUCGUUAAAGCUUCAGUCACCAGGUGAGUGGAACAACCCCUUAAGUUUUAAAGUAAAGUAAAUGAAUAAAUGAAUGAAUCAUAAAGCAUUGCCCAUGCAUCAUUAUGCCAUGCAAUAUUUCAGGAUGUUUGCAUUAGAAUUCACGAAUAUGCUGCAUUGCAUAAAUUGAUGUUGAUGUGGAUGGUUGUUGGGUGAUCCAUAGUCCUCUGAUGUUAUGUUAUGAUGAUAUGUUAUGGAAGACCAGCGAGGCCCAUUCUACGCCCCUGGCACUAUGUAAGAGAAAGACCAGCGAGGCCCAUUCUACGCCCCUGGCACUUUAGAAUGUUAUGUUAUGUAAGAGAAAGACCAGUGAGGCCCAUUCUACGCCCCUGGCAUUUGGAGAUGUUGAGGACUAAUGGUGACAAUACCAUCCUUUAUGUGAUUAGCUGUGAUGUGUUGCAUUUCAUGAAAGCAUGAAUAAGAAAAAAGUUAAAAUAAUAAUAAUAAUAAUAAAAUGAAUAAUAAUAUACCUAAAAAUGGAGGAAUUAAAGCAAAUGUUUUUAGUUUCUGCUCAUUGGGCUUUAUAGCUCACCCCCUCUCCCCUAACCCCAGUCUUGCAGGUGCAGAGUAGAUAGAGAAGUCAGCAGAGUAAGAGAAGUUUAUGUAAUAGCUUAGCUGUGGACAUGGUUUGUUGGUAAUGUAAAAGUAUGAGAUGUAAUGUAAUGUAAGUUUGAUGAUGUGCUUGACUAGAGUC
RNAcentral lists this long non-coding RNA (1748 nucleotides) under Manihot esculenta (cassava). RNAcentral's name for it is "long non-coding RNA (MESC_LNC008540)". The record is from RNAcentral. Lineage: Eukaryota; Viridiplantae; Streptophyta; Magnoliopsida; Malpighiales; Euphorbiaceae.